CCCAGUGCAAUUCGUUGCACUAUCGUUAACUGAAUACAUAGGUUAACGAGGCGAACCGGGGGAACUGAAACAUCUAAGUACCCCGAGGAAAAGAAAUCAACCGAGAUUCCCCCAGUAGCGGCGAGCGAACGGGGAGCAGCCCAGAGUCUGAAUCAGCUUGUGUGUUAGUGGAACGGUCUGGAAAGUCCGACGGUACAGGGUGAUAGUCCCGUACACCAAAAUGCACAGGUUGUGAACUCGAAGAGUAGGGCGGGACACGUGGUAUCCUGUCUGAAUAUGGGGGGACCAUCCUCCAAGGCUAAAUACUCCUGACUGACCGAUAGUGAACCAGUACCGUGAGGGAAAGGCGAAAAGAACCCCGGCGAGGGGAGUGAAAAAGAACCUGAAACCGUGUACGUACAAGCAGUGGGAGCACCUUCGGGUGUGACUGCGUACCUUUUGUAUAAUGGGUCAGCGACUUAUAUUCUGUAGCAAGGUUAACCGUAUAGGGGAGCCGCAGGGAAACCGAGUCUUAACUGGGCGUUAAGUUGCAGGGUAUAGACCCGAAACCCGGUGAUCUAGCCAUGGGCAGGUUGAAGGUUGGGUAACACUAACUGGAGGACCGAACCGACUAAUGUUGAAAAAUUAGCGGAUGACUUGUGGCUGGGGGUGAAAGGCCAAUCAAACCGGGAGAUAGCUGGUUCUCCCCGAAAGCUAUUUAGGUAGCGCCUCGUGAACUCAUCUUCGGGGGUAGAGCACUGUUUCGGCUAGGGGGUCAUCCCGACUUACCAACCCGAUGCAAACUACGAAUACCGAAGAAUGUUAUCACGGGAGACACACGGCGGGUGCUAACGUCCGUCGUGAAGAGGGAAACAACCCAGACCGCCAGCUAAGGUCCCAAAGUCACAGUUAAGUGGGAAACGAUGUGGGAAGGCACAGACAGCCAGGAUGUUGGCUUAGAAGCAGCCAUCAUUUAAAGAAAGCGUAAUAGCUCACUGGUCGAGUCGGCCUGCGCGGAAGAUGUAACGGGGCUAAACUGUGCACCGAAGCUGCGGCAGCGACACUUAGGUGUUGUUGGGUAGGGGAGCGUUCUGUAAGCCUGCGAAGGUGGCCUGUGAGGGUUGCUGGAGGUAUCAGAAGUGCGAAUGCUGACAUAAGUAACGAUAAUGCGGGUGAAAAGCCCGCACGCCGGAAGACCAAGGGUUCCUGUCCAACGUUAAUCGGGGCAGGGUGAGUCGACCCCUAAGGCGAGGCCGAAAGGCGUAGUCGAUGGGAAACAGGUUAAUAUUCCUGUACUUGGUGUUACUGCGAAGGGGGGACGGAGAAGGCUAUGUUAGCCGGGCGACGGUUGUCCCGGUUUAAGCAUGUAGGCGGAGGUUCCAGGUAAAUCCGGUACCUUUUUAACGCUGAGGUGUGAUGACGAGGCACUACGGUGCUGAAGUAACAAAUGCCCUGCUUCCAGGAAAAGCCUCUAAGCAUCAGGUAACAUUAAAUCGUACCCCAAACCGACACAGGUGGUCAGGUAGAGAAUACCAAGGCGCUUGAGAGAACUCGGGUGAAGGAACUAGGCAAAAUGGUGCCGUAACUUCGGGAGAAGGCACGCUGAUAUGUAGGUGAAGUCCCUGCGGAUGGAGCUGAAAUCAGUCGAAGAUACCAGCUGGCUGCAACUGUUUAUUAAAAACACAGCACUGUGCAAACACGAAAGUGGACGUAUACGGUGUGACGCCUGCCCGGUGCCGGAAGGUUAAUUGAUGGGGUUAUCCGUAAGGAGAAGCUCUUGAUCGAAGCCCCGGUAAACGGCGGCCGUAACUAUAACGGUCCUAAGGUAGCGAAAUUCCUUGUCGGGUAAGUUCCGACCUGCACGAAUGGCGUAAUGAUGGCCAGGCUGUCUCCACCCGAGACUCAGUGAAAUUGAACUCGCUGUGAAGAUGCAGUGUACCCGCGGCAAGACGGAAAGACCCCGUGAACCUUUACUAUAGCUUGACACUGAACAUUGAGCCUUGAUGUGUAGGAUAGGUGGGAGGCUUUGAAGCGUGGACGCCAGUCUGCGUGGAGCCAACCUUGAAAUACCACCCUUUAAUGUUUGAUGUUCUAACGUUGGCCCCUUAUCGGGGUUGCGGACAGUGUCUGGUGGGUAGUUUGACUGGGGCGGUCUCCUCCCAAAGAGUAACGGAGGAGCACGAAGGUUAGCUAAUCCUGGUCGGACAUCAGGAGGUUAGUGCAAUGGCAUAAGCUAGCUUGACUGCGAGCGUGACGGCGCGAGCAGGUGCGAAAGCAGGUCAUAGUGAUCCGGUGGUUCUGAAUGGAAGGGCCAUCGCUCAACGGAUAAAAGGUACUCCGGGGAUAACAGGCUGAUACCGCCCAAGAGUUCAUAUCGACGGCGGUGUUUGGCACCUCGAUGUCGGCUCAUCACAUCCUGGGGCUGAAGUAGGUCCCAAGGGUAUGGCUGUUCGCCAUUUAAAGUGGUACGCGAGCUGGGUUUAGAACGUCGUGAGACAGUUCGGUCCCUAUCUGCCGUGGGCGCUGGAGAAUUGAGGGGGGCUGCUCCUAGUACGAGAGGACCGGAGUGGACGCAUCACUGGUGUUCGGGUUGUCAUGCCAAUGGCAUUGCCCGGUAGCUAAAUGCGGAAGAGAUAAGUGCUGAAAGCAUCUAAGCACGAAACUUGCCCCGAGAUGAGUUCUCCCUGAGUCCUUGAGAGUCCUGAAGGAACGUUAAAGACGAUGACGUUGAUAGGUCGGGUGUGUAAGCGUAGCGAUACGUUGAGCUAACCGAUACUAAUGAACCGUGAGGCUUAACCUU
This 2779-nucleotide ribosomal RNA is filed under the name Klebsiella aerogenes MGH 61. RNAcentral's name for it is "bacterial LSU rRNA". It matches the Rfam family "Bacterial large subunit ribosomal RNA". The record is from RNAcentral. Lineage: Bacteria; Pseudomonadati; Pseudomonadota; Gammaproteobacteria; Enterobacterales; Enterobacteriaceae.